Molecule: ribosomal RNA, 487 nt
Filed under: Potamon persicum
Lineage: Eukaryota; Metazoa; Arthropoda; Malacostraca; Decapoda; Potamidae
Description: partial large subunit ribosomal RNA
Rfam family: Bacterial large subunit ribosomal RNA
Source: RNAcentral
AUUAAAGGGCCGCGGUAUUUUAACCGUGCAAAGGUAGCAUAAUCAUUAGGUUUUUAAUUAGAAUCUUGUAUGAAUGGUUUGACAAAAGAAAUACUGUCUUUAUGUUAAAAUUUGAAUUUAACUUUUAAGUGAAAAGGCUUAAAUAUAUUAAAGGGACGAUAAGACCCUAUAAAACUUUACAUUGUAAUUUUAUUUAAUUAAAUUUAUAAGAUAAAAAUUUGAUUUAAUUAUAUGUUAUGUUGGGGAGACAGAAGUAAAAAUAAAUUUUAACUGCUUUAUGUUAAAACAUAUAUUUAUGAAAUAUUAAAUGAUCCUUUAUAAAGAUUAAAAGAUUAAGUUACUUUAGGGAUAACAGCGUUAUUUUUUUUGAGAGUUCCUAUCGAAAAGAAAGUUUGCGACCUCGAUGUUGAAUUAAAAUAUCUUUAUAGUGCAGAAGCUAUAAAAGAAGGUCUGUUCGACCUUUAAAUUUUUACAUGAUUUGAGUUCA